Molecule: ribosomal RNA, 222 nt
Filed under: Salmonella enterica subsp. enterica serovar Typhimurium
Lineage: Bacteria; Pseudomonadati; Pseudomonadota; Gammaproteobacteria; Enterobacterales; Enterobacteriaceae
Description: partial 16S ribosomal RNA
Rfam family: Bacterial small subunit ribosomal RNA
Source: RNAcentral
UGUGCCCAGAUGGGAUUAGCUUGUUGGUGAGGUAACGGCUCACCAAGGCGACGAUCCCUAGCUGGUCUGAGAGGAUGACCAGCCACACUGGAACUGAGACACGGUCCAGACUCCUACGGGAGGCAGCAGUGGGGAAUAUUGCACAAUGGGCGCAAGCCUGAUGCAGCCAUGCCGCGUGUAUGAAGAAGGCCUUCGGGUUGUAAAGUACUUUCAGCGGGGAGG